Non-coding RNA from Pelobates cultripes (western spadefoot toad), 820 nucleotides. NCBI's taxonomy places the organism in Eukaryota, Metazoa, Chordata, Amphibia, Anura, Pelobatidae. The record is from the annotation of a GenBank genome assembly.
CUCACGCAGCAAAACAACCCCUCCACAGAGGAAAACAAACUGACAGUUAAAGACAGACAGCGUUUGGAAAUAUGACAGUUAUUAAGGGUUUUUAAGCUGGUGUUCUAGGAGGGAGGGGAAUAAAACAGUCAAACUAAGUCCAUAAAACAGGGUUUUUCUUCACACUCUGCAUCCGAAGUGCAUAGCAAAACUGCAGAUCCUUUGUCAGAGCAUUUAAAGGGCCAGAACCAGUCUAAUAAAAUCCACUAUGCUCAAAUAACAUACAGUUCAAAUACAGGCAAUAAUCAAUGCAAAAGUCUCUUGUGGCUGCUUCUGCCACAGUCUGGUAUAGAGGCACUGAGGGCUGGAGGGUGGUAUAACAGGGAGGUCUGGUAUAAGGGCACUAAGGUCAGGAGUGUGGGGUGUCCGCGAGGUCUGGUAUAGGGGCAGUGAGGGCUGGUGUGUGGUGUACCAGGGAGGUCUGGUAUAGAGGCACUGAGGGCAGGAGUGUGGGGUGUCAGCGAGGUCUGGUAUAGAGGCACUGAGGGCUGGAGGGUGGUGUACCAGGGAGGUCUGGUAUAAGGGCACUGAGGGAAGGAGUGUGGGGUGUCCGUGAGGUCUGGUAUAGGGGCAGUGAGGGCAGGAGUGUGGUGUACCAGGGAGGUCUGGUAUAGAGGCACCGAGGGCUGGAGGGUGGUGUACCAGGAAGGUCUGGUAUAAGGGCACUGAGGGCAGGAGUGUGGGGUGUCCGCGAGGUCUGGUAUAGGGGCAGUGAGGGCUGGAGUGUGGUGUACCAGGGAGGUCUGGUAUAGAGGCACUGAGGGCAGGAGUGUGGGGUGUC